UGGAAUGUAGAUCAGUGGUAAAAUACUUGCCUACCAUGCAUAAGGCCCUGGGUUCAAUCCCCCAGUACUGCAA
RNAcentral lists this transfer RNA (73 nucleotides) under Mus musculus (house mouse). RNAcentral describes it as "tRNA-Gly". The record is from RNAcentral. Lineage: Eukaryota; Metazoa; Chordata; Mammalia; Rodentia; Muridae.